GACGAACGCUGGCGGCGUGCCUAAUACAUGCAAGUAGAACGCACAGUUUAUACCGUAGCUUGCUACACCAUAAACUGUGAGUUGCGGACGGGUGAGUAACGCGUAGGUAACCUGCCUGGUAGCGGGGGAUAACUAUUGGAAACGAUAGCUAAUACCGCAUAAUAUUGAUUAUUGCAUGAUAAUUGAUUGAAAGAUGCUAUUGCAUCACUACCAGAUGGACCUGCGUUGUAUUAGCUAGUAGGUGAGGUAACGGCUCACCUAGGCGACGAUACAUAGCCGACCUGAGAGGGUGAUCGGCCACACUGAGACUGAGACACGGCCCAGACUCCUACGGGAGGCAGCAGUAGGGAAUCUUCGGCAAUGGACGAAAGUCUGACCGAGCAACGCCGCGUGAGUGAAGAAGGUUUUCGGAUCGUAAAGCUCUGUUGUAAGAGAAGAACGGGUGUGAGAGUGGAAAGUUCACACUGUGACGGUAUCUUACCAGAAAGGGACGGCUAACUACGUG
RNAcentral lists this ribosomal RNA (505 nucleotides) under uncultured bacterium. RNAcentral describes it as "partial 16S ribosomal RNA". It matches the Rfam family "Bacterial small subunit ribosomal RNA", at positions 28 to 507 of the family's 1533-position model. The record is from RNAcentral.